Molecule: long non-coding RNA, 20734 nt
Organism: Balaenoptera acutorostrata (minke whale)
Lineage: Eukaryota; Metazoa; Chordata; Mammalia; Artiodactyla; Balaenopteridae
Exons: 7
Source: RefSeq, a predicted model, not a curated record
ACUAUGUUUUUGGUUCUGUUACUGGCUCCUAGGGAAAAGAAAUUGCAAUAAAAUAGGCAUUUCUAAAGAAAUAACUUAGGAUUAGGAUUCCUUCAAGAAUUCAUACAAGAAUUAAGAACACUGUAGAAAAUCAAGUAAUAUAAAUUAGAAGUGAAAAUGUCCAUUAGAUUAAUUUGAUGAUUCUAGACAUGAGAAUCUGUAAGUUAUUUUCUAUCAUUUUGUCCUCAUUUUUAAAGUCUCAGACAAUGCAACUUCCAUCACUUGAAUCUCAUUCAGUAAUGUGUAUACAGCUAUUCAUUCAUUCAACAAGUCACUUUGUUCAGAGGCAUUUGCCUCUGAUACUAGUAUCUUCAAUGUCAUCAAAAUGCAUUUUAUUAAGAUGACAAUUGAGCAUGUAGGAGAAGCUUAAGCUUUCCCACUUGUUUAGAAGACCAUGAAAUGAAGCAGAAUAAAAAGUUAUAAUUCAGUAUAAUAAAAUUUGUGAAUAUUAUCCUAAAGAAGUGUUCAGGUAGCUUGGUUACUUUGCCAGAGGAAUGACAAUGUAAACAGAAGCUUAAACUGUUCCUAUCCUAGAGAAGUUAAAUGUGGUCCUACUCAAAUACUUAAAAAUUGGCGCGACUUAAAUUUGUGUGACCUUAAGCAAAUUGCUCUCUCCAAACCUCAGCUGUAAAUUUUAAGUAAGAGGUUGAACUUGGAUCUGUUUUGUCCCAAAUUUUUAUAAUCCUAGAACAGAGUCAGCCUCCAAUGUAUUUAUUUUAUGAAUAAUUCUGUACACUGACAUAUUACUCAUUAAAGCAAAGGAAAAUAAGUUAAAUAAUCUUGUAGAUUUAUGUGGAAACCUUAGUUAUCACCUUAGAAUUUUGGGUAUUAUAUAUUUAAGUUUUCCAUUCUAGAAAAAAAAAUUAGAUUUUUUUUCCUACCCUUUUGUCAGAUUGUCACCUUGACUGUAUGAGACAUGGCCAACAAAAGGAAAACAACCCCCAUAGAAACUUGAAGAAGGAGAGGCACUGUAAAUGAAAAAUAAGAAAUCUUUUAAUGUUUAUCAGAUAAAGAAAGCAUUUCAUUGAAAGCAUUUAAUUGAAUUAAUGGGACACUAUGGAGUACCAGAUGGUUUAGUUAACUGACAUUUACAAUGAUCUUAAACCUUGUUUGAAUAUUUUGUAAAAUAUUAAUAAAAAUUACAAUAUUUCAGUAUAUUUUCUUAAACAGUAUGCUGAAUAUUAUUAAAUUUUAUGUAAGGAUCAAGUCAUAUAAAGUAUUAUGUAAUAAUAAGUAUAGAAGUUUCAAGAGUAGUGUUUAAUGUGUUUUAAGCCAUAACAUCCAGAGGGUGUUUGAUUAUAAUUUUUCUUAAAGUUAACUUCUUUUUUCUUGAAGUAGAGUGUAAGAGACAAAUUCAGGUUAACUAAGGAUUCAAUUUGAAGAAUUCCAGUUUCCUUUAAGCAAAAUUUUACUUUAUUUCAAACUGAACAAAAUUAUGUUGUAUUCAUAAUUUGACAACACACUUGAAAGGUGUACACUAUAAAGGAUUCAAAUUACAAACCUUUCAGUUAUAAUCUGUUGGUUGUAAGCAAGGCCAUGUACUUGUAAAUUUCUCCUACUGCCAGAAAUUGUAUCAGAAGGGACUAAAUUAUCAAGAAUGGCUACUGGUGUUUUGUUUUGUUUUGUUUUGUUUUUGGCUCUGUGGCAUGGGGGAUCUUAUUUCCCCGACCAGUGGUCAAACCCGUGCCGCCUGCCGUGGAAACACAGUCUCAACCGCUGAACCAUCAGGGAAGUCCCAAGAAUGGCUACUGGUUUUGAUCAUGGUUAUGUACAUAAAUGUAUGUUAUAUACUCUACCGAAGUAGAGUAGCACAGUUUUAUUCAUAUGCAAAUCUAUUUUUGAAUAGUGUGAAAAAUCUGAGGUGGUGAUAAUUUGAGGUGUCAUAUUCCAUAAAUGAGAGUGAAUAUAAUUUCAUCUCAUCAAGAAUAGUUAUUAUAAUAAUACUUUAAAUGCCUUGAAAGUUUUCUUUUUUCAUUUUUCAAGUGAGAUAAUCUUUUAUUAUUAAAGACCUAUUCUAUGCCCAGUACUUCACUAUAGUCUAAAAAAGAUGGUCACUGUCGGCAAAGAACUUCUGGCCUAGAUGGUAAUAUUAUACUAACUUACAGGAAACAACUAGAGAAGAGUGGAGUGUAAAGUCUGUCUUGCUGACCUGAAGUGCAAUAGAAGCUCAAAGGAAAUGUGGAUUUGGACAACAGAGAAGACUUCUUAGAGGAGGUUGAAAAUGAGCUGGGCUUAAAGAAUAGAUAGGAUUAAUUCAGUGAAAUGAAGGAAUUGGAGACUUACAAGUGCAGAAAACAUGAACCAAAGCAUGAUCAAGUAGGAAGGAGUAAAGUAGAGUUACUGGGUUGAAAACAGAUUGGUACUGGGGAGUAGGUAGGGAAAUGAGUGUAACCAUGGUUGAGAUUGUUUUCCUUCCUUUGCAUAAAAUGCCCUAAUUUCUAAUUGAAGAAAAUGAGAGUAUAUUCGGAUUGCCUGCAGCCCUUCGAAAAUCAAGGUGUGAUGAUUUGAAGAAAAAUCACGAUUUGUAAGAAAUGUUGGAAGGAAUCUUGGCUUAAAUUAGACGAGUUUACCUGAAACACUGGGGGUCUAUAGCCUUUAACUGAGCAAAUCAAGUGAGAAAUCUUGAGAGGCAGGGGUUGCAUAGCCAAAAGUCUACUCUCAGGGAUAUUUUUUGCCCAGGUGAGAUUGACCUUAUCACUAUGGGAAUGAUCGCAAAUACCACAGUACUGUUGUUAAGCCAAAUAAAAACACUGUACUCCUUUUCCAAACCUCUAAUUUGCAUACAAGCCUUAGCUCAAGUUAUGUCCUUUCCCUCAUCUUCAGCUGUCUAAAUAUUCUUAGGCUAUCUAGCCCCUGCAUGUAAUUUUCCCAGUUCACUUUUCUUCCUCUCCCAGAAAUACCAUUUCUCUCUUUUGUGCUCCUAUUCCUGAUCUAGAACAAUUAACACAUCCUGCUUUAUGGGCAGAGGCUAUUUUAUUUUUUAUUGUAUACUCUGCAAGUCUAACAUAGUGGGUGCUUGAUAAAUGGCAGUUGAUUGCUGAAAAUCAGUAGUGAUUUGGUGAUAAAUUAAUAUGUUCUGGAAAGACUGAAUACCAGCCAGAUAAAUAUAGAAAUGCCCAAGCUCUUGCCUGGUAAUUUAGAAGUUCUCCACCUUUUACUGUUUCACUUACCAGGGCUCAGGGCUCCUCUCAUUCUAUGCUACCUAUUAACAUUCAAGUCUUAGCUACCUUAAAGUUUUUUUUAAAAAAACUUAAUCAAAGCCAGAAACCUGUGGGUGGGGGUAUGAAUAGCUGGAAAGCCUAUGAAAUUUUGAGGGUUAUAAAUGAUCUGAUUGAUCAUCUAAAACUUUCCAACAAAGUAUAAUUUAACUGUUUCCUAUUGGCUUUUAUUUGUUGUCUCUCUGAGGAGAUGGGAGAUGGUAGUAGAAUGAAAAGUCCUUACAUUAAAAAAUACUUUUCAAAAAAAUUUUUUUCAAGAAGCAUCGUUACCAUAAUUACAAAAAUAAAUGUGUUGAACAUCUGCUGCAAUUCUUUAAAGUGACUCUCUAAAGUUAAUUGUAUGCUUCUGAAUCCCUCUGCUUACUAGAGCUACCUUAUUGAGUGAAAUGGGUUUUCUUAUAAACUUUCUUGGACAAUUUUGUAAGACAGUAUCCAAGUCACACGAAAAAGCUUUCAGAAAUCUCAGAAGGCAAAGAAAAUUGUGGAUCAAAUAUGUAGCAUUUGUUUUCUGCUAGGACAUUUAAGUCAUAUUUAUAAUGUGAUAAGGAUUUAUUUUUAUGUAUCCUUAAGAGCUUUUAAAUAAAAUCUAUAGGACAUUUAUGUCUGAUUUCCAGAACCUAUAUAUAUAUAAAUUACAUUUUUUUGAAAAGUCUAAUGUUGCUGUUGGGUUGGGUUUGGCUUUGAGGGAGGUUGACGUAUUUGUUAUACUUAACAUUUAGCCAGAAGUCAGGAAUUCAACCAGCAAUUAAAUAAUGGUUCCCACGGUGAAGCAUUUUCCCCUCUACACUGAUUUGCUUUAUGACCUGUUUUCUAGGCACUUAUUUUGACAUCACCACUGCCCCCACAAAAAAAAAAAAAAAAAGUGAGAACUGACUAUAUCACGGGUACCUAGACCAUGUGGAGAAAGGACUGAGACCGGAAGCAGAAAACACAUUGUCCGUACAGAGCAAAGUGCCAGACAACAGCUCACUCUAGUAAAGGGCGAUAAAUGCCACAUGAGAUGGUCUCCUCAGUUCAAAACUAGUGUCAUAUCUCAAGCUUGUGCCUAUAGGAAAAUCCUACACUGGUAUCAGUUAUGAAGUUGCAUCUGACUUAUGUGCCUGGUCUGAUGACUUCAACUAUCUUUUCAUGACUCCUAAAUUAUGGAGAUAGAUCCAAUAGAAGGCCGAACAAUUCAUGACAAAGCUGUUCUGGGACCAAGCUGGCGAUCCCGAGGCGCUGGAAGUGAAGCCAGGCGUGUUGGGUAGCGGAGCGGGUUUUCAGCAGCCCGGGCGCGCUGCCCCCGCCGCCCACCCGCACGCCGUUGCUCCCCAUCCCCCCGUUCCGGGGCCUGGCUGCUUUCGGCUGUGCUGCCAGGACUGGAGCGCCGACUGAGCUCUCCGCCAGGCCCCCCCACCCCACCACUCACGCAGGUGCCUGCCCGGUCAGGGCAAAUCCCCACCCCCCUUCCCCGUAAGGACCCGGGCGGCGGGUACUUAUCUCGGACCUCCGGGACCGCUGGAGAGGACCCGCCGGGAGCCGCGCAGCGGCCAGUCCUCCAGCCGCGGGCACCGCGCGCUACGAGCCGGAACGGCUGCAAAAUGGAUUCGCGGCGCCGACGGGCCCCGCCCCAAGGCCCUCCUCCCCCGGCACCUCGGUCCGCCUCCCAGGCCGGGCCUCCCCUUUCCCCCGGGGAGGGAGUGGGUGAGGGGAGGCGGGAGUCCUUCCGGUAUCUCCAACCGCCACCGACGACCGCCGCUGGCCGCAGUGCGCCUGGGAGAGGGGAGGGUUCCUGGCUGCUGGCUUCUCUCCUUUCCAGAGGGGCUGCGCGCGCCCGCGAAGCGCCGUGCCCCGGGCGCCGAGAAGGGGACGUGGAUCGCGCAGACCCGCGGGCUCGGCCUGGACCGAGCGCGGGCGACGGGAGGCGGCGUUGUCCCCGGUGGAGCCGCCUGGGAAGAAAGCCGGCGCGCAACAAGAUGGUUGGGUUUGGAUUGUUGUACUUUUUUUUUUGUUCGUUGAAUUUUUAGGAACAAAAAAAAAAGCCCAACCCUUCACACCGCUUCAUCUGCAUCUCUCAGGACCAGAGGCCCGGCCACAGCGGCUUGGGGGGACGGAGACGACUGUCCGCCCCGCACCCCACAACCCGGGGUGGGUGGGACGGGCGCCCGCGCUGCUCCAGCCGCAGCACAAUCAAAACAGUUAACUACUGCACCCACCCACACCUUGCAUCUAUGUAUUUCUUUGCAGGCUUUAGGCCGAACACUAGCCACCCAAUUCAAGGUUUCUUUUUAGGAAAAACACCACCGCCCUUUUCUUUGGAGAGAAGGAAAAACUCAAGUAUGGCUCUAAAUUAUCAGCCGCUAGCCUGACUCACUCUUCUGACGUCCGGCGCCCUGUAUAGGGACCUUCUCUAAUAGCAAACGCAUUAAGCACUUACCAAGGAGCGGUUGCAAGAAGAUUGCAAAGAUGAAAGAAUGGCUUCUCCAAAACUUGCCAUCUUGGGGGAUGUGAAGCAAGGACAAAAAUCACAGAAUAUGCCCUGGGGUUGAGUUCGCCCCCCUCCCCCGCCCCACUUGGGGAAGUCUGGGAUUUGGAAGUAGAAUUGGGGGAAAAGGUAUUCGAGGUCUAUUUACAGUCCUUGGACCCGGUGACUAACAAUGCUAGCUCAAACCCCAUAAAAAGCUCCUCCCCACUCCCUUCUGAUAUGUCCGGUUCCUCACCAUGCCCGGGGUCCCUUAAAUCCAGUUUUGUGUGUGUCUCCCUUAAACCCAAUUUUGCCUUUGAAGAACAGUUCCUAUAUUUAUGUCAUUUUGUCUUCAUAAGAACACUGUGGAAUGGAAAUUAUGAUCUUCAUCCUAUAGAUGAGGAAACGGAUGAAGUGAUUUCUCCAAGGCAAAAAACAAGAGGCAGCGCUGAGACUCUCAAGUCAGAUUCCAGGUACACGGUCUUUCUACGGCACGGUAACUGUCAGUGCCAACGAAAACUGCACCCCAGUCUCCUACUAAAUAAGUGUUAUUAAAAGAAAAUCAAACACCUGAUUUGUAGAAACAUUUUGAAUACCCUAAUAUUAAAAUGAUACAAGAGUGAAAGGUUAUUAACUCAUAAAUCAGAAAUUGUCCUUAUGUAAUUAUAUAAUACAUAUGUGUAUCUGGUUGUUGGUAGAUAGCAAUUAACUUCUAACCAACUAAAUGUAAAACAUUGGUUAAAUCUGCAUAGAAAUGCCUAGAUUGUUUAAAAAAAAAAUUAACUACUAAGAGACCAUCGUAUAUUAAACUCUCUUAAGUGUAGAAAAAUAGGGAAGGAAGAAUAACCUAUUUUCCCUCCCAUGGUCCUAAUAAAUCAGCCAAUCAGGGAAUCACCACAUAUAGUGUGACUAGAAAAAGAGAUUAAAACCUGCAUACACGGGGCUUCCCUGGUGGCGCAGUGGUUAAGAAUCCGCCUGCCAGUGAAGAGCACACAGGUUUGAGCCCUGGUCCAAGAAGAUCCCACAUGCCGCGGAGCAGCUAAGCCCAUGCACCACAACUACUGAGCCUGUGUGCCACAACUACUGAGCCCCUGUGCCACGACUACUGAAGCUUGCGUGCCUAGAGCCCGAGCUCCGCAACAAGAGAAGCCACGACAAUGAGAAUCCAGCGCACUGCAACGAAGAGUGGCCCCUGCUCGCCGCAACCAGAGAAAAGCCUGCGCACAGCAACAAAGACCCAACGCAACCAAAAAUAAAAUAAAUUUAAAAAUUAAAAAACCCUACAUACACGGAUUAAAACCCACCCACACAGCUACCUCCUUCCUGGAAGAGCACACUAUAACUAGAUCCCAUACCGAGGGACUGUCAAAAUUCUUAUCACACUGGAAUUUCCUUUUAUUGACUGUUCUUCAAACAAGCAGAAUAAGCUUAAGAUUGGAAUUCAUAUGUCACCACAGCAAUAAGAUGUAGUCUUAUGUAAGUUUGUCUUUUGUGAAAAAUAUAUUUUUACAGGUAGAAUUUCUAAUGUUAUAUAUUUGAAAUAUAUAUAUAUACACACAUAUAUAUUCUUAUUUUUGUGAUUUAUUUCAUGGUGUUGUUUUUGUCCUGAGCCUUGACAAAGGUGAAAUCCACCAGCUUUCCUUCCACCUACCAAGACAUGAUCAGAUGUUCCAUAACAAAAGGGACAGUGCCAAAUUUGGUGUACACUGAAAUGUAAAUUAUCAGAAUGGGGAACGUCUAAUAAUUAAGACUGGAGCAGUUAUGUGCAGGAGAGGGGUGCUGGUGAGCCUCCUUAGAUAUACUGGAACAUUUCAUUACUAUUCUGUCUUUCCCUUCCCAAUAGCUGCCAAAGUCAUGAAUGCAAGCCCCAACAUUCCCCAACGAGAAUUCCUGGCAAUACAAGGCACUGACAUUGCAAGGUGUAGCAAAAAGAGCAGACACUUUGGAAUGAAUUCUGCAUCCAAACUCUAGCUCUGCCAUAUACAAGUUGUUCAAGUUACUAAGCAUCUCUAAGCCUCAGUUUUCUCUUCUGUAAAAUGGGGAUCAUGUUUCACUUGAUUGUGAAAAUCAGAUAACAUACAAAGCAACCAACAUGGUAUCUGACAUAUAGGAGGUACUUAAUAAACGGUUGCUACUGCUAUAUGGGAGAAGAAAACCAUGCUGGUUUUGAAUAACAGUUGUUUUGGAUUUGUAAUGUGAGGCUUAAGCACGAUAGUCUUAAGCAGAGCUAAACUGCCUAUGCAGUAGAGGAAGCUAGCACCAUAAUUUCUGCUUUUUUUACACCCAGCCCAGGGUGGCCUUUUAUUUUAUAAAUUUAUUUAUUUAUUUAUUUAUUAUUUAUUUUUGGCAGCGUUGGAUCUUCGCUGCUGCGCGCACACUUUCUCUAGUUGCUGAGAGUGGGGGCUACUCUUUGUUACAUCGCGGUGGCUUCUGCUUGUUGAGGAGCACGGGCUCCAGGCACACAGGCUUCAGUAGUUGUGGCUCGUAGGCUCUAGAGCGCAGGCUCAGUAGUCGUGGCGCAUGGGCUUAGUUCCUCUGCAUCCUGGACCAGGGCUUGAACCCGUGUCCCCUGCAUUGGCAGGCAGAUUCUUAACCACUGCACCACCAGGGAAGUCCCCAGGGUGGCCUUUUAAAAGCACGUAUCUUUCCACUGCUGUACCUCCUUCCUUGUGCUUAGGGAAAGGAGAGGAAAAGGAAAAAACAUCUCAUUUAAUGAAAGGAAGACUCUGCAGUGUUUUUUAAAGCUUUACAAUUUCAGUGAAAUUGUUGGAACAUCCAAAACAUUCCAUUAAAAGGAAAAGAAUCUACCUGUAAAAAUACAUUUAUCACAAAAGACAGAAACUUACCUAAGACUUGAUGAAAUUAAAGGAAUUAGUCCUUGGUUUGAAGAAAAUUACAGGUUGCAUAUAUUUCAAUUGCACAGUGAAGAUCGUGCAUUAGAUGGAGCAAACAGCAAGAUCAGUUAGCUUUGGGAGAGAAUGAGAGAUGCUUAAACAACAGUAAACUUGGCCUUUAGUUGUGCCAUUUGUUUAGAUGGAAAAAUAAGUUAUAAGAAUAAAAUGUCAGAGGUAAUUAAGAUGAUAUUAACAUAUGCUUAUAAUUAUAUACUCAGGAUUGUGCUAAGCACCAAAGACACUAACUGAGGAAUUUCCCAUUUGGUUGAAGAGACAAGUCUUAACAGCAUGAACUAGUUUAGUAAUAGUGGCUGUUUAAGAGUCAAUGUGAGUGGUGUGGUGAAGACAAGAUCAGAGGAAGGCAUGGAAGCAUCACGAAGAUUUCACAGGGGAGGUGGGAGUCAAACAGAAUUAAAGAUCAUAGGAUUUGAAGGUAAGAGGAAGAGCAUUGGAGGUGAGGAACACAAGUUCAGGGUGGGAAUGAGCUUCACUGAUACUGAGUCAGGGAAGAGCAUGGCCUAGUUUGGAAAAAAAGUUUGAGGCCAAAUUGUGGAAUGUUUUGAUGUCAGAAUAAAGAGUUGAACUUCAUUCUGUAGGAAAUGGGAAGCCACUGAAUAAUUAUGUAUAUGGCACUAACAAGAUGAAAACAGAAUUUGGGGAAGACUAAUCUGAUAACAGGGUCCAAGAUUUAAGGGAGAAGAAAUUUCCUUUAUUUUAAUAGUUUUGAGGUUAUUGAAAAUUAUAGUUUUUUUUAAUGCAGUAAUGUAUAUAAAAGUACAACAUAUGUGCCUAGGUUAAAUUCCAUUGAACCAUUUAACUUCAAGUGUAUUGUUUACUAAAAUUUUCAAUUUGUAAAUAAAAUGUAAUGAAUGUAGAAAGAAUUAACGAUGACAAAUACUUCUAAAGUCCUCUGAGAGGAAAUUAUGUGUAUAUAUAUAUAUUUAUAUAUCAAUCCUAUAUAAUUUAUCUUAAUAUAAUGAUCUUAACUAUAUUGUAUGACUAAAGUUAGUAUGUUGCUUAAAUAUUAACUACAUUUUAGAGUACGCCUCACUAGAGCUUUAAAAAUCAUUACAUAUACUCUGAAAUGUAGUGUUCUGUUUUGAUAUUUUUAACAAUGAUUACACUCAAUUAUGUUAAUAAUUUUUUCUCUAAACUUAAUUCCCAUACAUGUAGAAUUUUAUUCUUGAUGAAAGUCACUUCAUGAGGGCCUUAAGAAAUGACUCAUUCAGGUAAAGACUACUGUUGUAUAAAUUAUUUGCAGUUGUUUAAGAGAACUUGAUUUGUAGAAAUGGUUUAUUUUGGAAUCUUUUUGUAGCAUUCACUAAUCAUUAUGUGCUCUAGUUUUAUCUUGAAAAAUGUUAGUUAUAAUAAUAAAUUUUAUAAUUUCAAUUUAGAAAACUACUCUCACCCUGCUCUAUGAGACAUUUUUAGAACAUUUCUUCUACAAAUAAGGGUACAACAGUUUUCUAUUAUAGUUUUCAAUAACUAGUAGAUUCCUGUACUUUCUUUAUCUUAAGUAAAGGCAGUAGUAUAUCUCAUAGAACUUUGGUUCUGAAGGUCUAAAUUUAUCAGAUACCUACCUAUACAGCAUUGCACAAGAAAUACAUGCUUCUGUUUUUUAACAUGAGUCCAAUUGAGUCUCUCUGGUAUCAAAGCAUGUGGUAAUAAAUGCCUUGUCAAAAAUGUAUUUAUCUUAUAAUGGUCUUGUUGUUUAUAACACUAUGCUAAUUGUUGCUAGAAUGUGGCCGGAUCUCUGGGAACUUGCGCUGGAUCUAAAGCAGCCCACACCCCUCCCAGUCAGGCAAAAGACACAGACAAUCCAGAAGAUGUGUGAGACUCGUUAUACAAUAUGAACACAGGUUAGGCAUUUUGUGAAGGUCAUUGACCUCUGUGUUGUGAAAUUCAGUGGACAUUUUUUCAGUUCUCGUUUGCUUUGAUCUCUUAGCAGCUCUCACUGCCUCCUCCCUAAAAGGCCCUCUUACCCUGGCGUUUAGUAACAUCACGCUCACACCGGGCUUUUCUUUUUCCAACUCUUUCAGGGACUCUUGCUGGGUUGUACCCAGCAUUUAAGUUCUGUAAUUCUUUAAACACUCAGGUUCAAGACACUGUCAGGACUUCAGCUAACAUUUGACUCUCACAUUCCCUGUAAAGCAGGGAUCACAAACUGUUAGCCCGUAGUUACACCAUCUUUAAAUUUAAAUACACUUUAGCAAGGCAUGCUCCUUCUUCCUCUCCCACAGUCCUCCCUCUCUGCAGGCAUUUGUGUUAGCCGUUGUGUUGUUGCUCGAGGCCCCUGCUCCUUCCAGAUUCAGGAUUCCUGCUCCCGAAGUGCCUUCUCUCCCGAAGGAACCCCCUCACCAGCCACCAGAUUCCUCCUCCUCAUCCUCAUCCCCCAAGCACAGCACAACUGACACAUCCCAGGUAUGUCAAGCUUUCCAAGAAGUUCCAGGCCAAGGUCAGAUCCCUCAUGAUCAUCUCAUACCAUCCUAUGCUCUUCUUCCAUUGCACACGCUGCAGUUUGUUAUUAUAUAUUUAUUUGUGUAAUAAUUUAAUAAUGUUUCUCUCCCCACUUGACUGUAAAGUCCAUAAGGUCAGAGAUUGUGUGUGUUUGUGUGAGCGUGUUUAUCUGUGUUUUCUCAUCAUUGCAGCCCUAGCUCCUAACCCAGUGAUAAUAAUUAUUUUUUCAUGAAUGUUUUAGGGAAGUAAGAAUUCUCUUUUUCAGAGAUUAGUGGUAUAUUUCAAACUUCUAAAAAUUACCUGUUAAGACCAGCUGAAAUGGUAAUGUAUUCUGAAUUUUAUUCACUUAAAAUAGGCACUCUAAUAUAUUUUAUUUUAUCAAAACAAUGUUUUCCCUCUUUAUCUGCAAAGCAAAGUUUUCCAGACUCCUCCUAUAGCUUACACAGAUGUAUCAGUAGUCUUUAGUCUUUUACGGUAGAGCUUGUCUCUUAAAAAUGAGGAUAAUUUCGGAGUUCCCUGGUGGUCUAUUGGUUAUAAUUCGGUGCUUUCACUGCCGUGGCCCGGGUUCAAUCCCCCGUCAGGGAACUGAGAUCCUGCAAGCCGUGCAGCACAGCCAAAAAAAAUAGAGAAAAAUUUUUUUAAAAGGAUAAUUUCUUGAGUAGUCCAUCAGAGAAUUAUUAUAAAAAAUUGGGAACCUUCUUUUUAAGCAUAAAAAUUAAGCAAUAUGCCAUUAAAAAAAGACUUAAUGAUAUGACUAAAUAAAAAUGUAAAAAAAACCUUUUAUGUUAAAAAUACAAUAUAGUGAUAGUAGUAUAUAACUAUUAAAAGAAGAUAUAAAGCAGUACGUAUUAACAAUGAGAUAUGUAUAAGAUAUAGUAAGUGAAAAAUCAAGUUAAAAACAGUAUAUAUACUAUGAUUCCAAUUUUGAAAGGAAAUGUAAUUCAUAAUAUAUUGAUAGGAAAAAACAUUUGGAGGAAUAUACACCAAGUUAUCAAUUUGAGAAGAUGGAAAUGGGAAAUUUUCAGUACGUAUGUUUUAUAUUAUUAUAAUUUUUUUUGUAGUUUUACAUCGAGCGUCUAUUACUUUUAUACUGUAUAAAAAAGAAAAAAGAUAAAUUUGUAAAAAACACAAACUCAGAACAAAUACAUGCAAUAUAUAUAACCAUGUUCUCUUCCAAAUGAAUAACAAAUCAAACAAAAGGUAGAAAAACAAGCCAAGAACACGAAAAACAGGACACAAAAAGAAGAAAUACAAGUGACUGACAAGCAUGCAAAAAAAAUUUCAUUCUCAUUGAUAAAGAAAUACCAAGCAAAACACUUAUACAGCCUUUUUUUUAAUGACAAGUAGGCCAGCAUUGAGUGGUACAGGCCAUCCUGUUUGCUGCUGGAAACCAACAUAGAUGGAUACAACAUUUUGGAGGACAGUUAGGUAAUCUGUAUCAAAAACACUCAAAAUAUAUAUACUUAAUUCAACUUCUAGAAAUGUAUCCUAAGAAAAGAAUCAAAAACAUAAUUUAUAUAACAAGGAUAUUGUUAUGGAACUUUCAAGGGAAAAUUAGAAAUAUCCUAAUUAUCCAUUAAAGGACAUGAGUUAUAUGAAUCCUGGUACAUUCAAACAAAAUAAUAAUAUGUAGCCAUUUAAAAAUCAUGUUUUAGAAGGCUAUUUAACAACUUGAAAAAUUCUUUUAUUAUGUGAAGAAAAGCAAAUUUCAAAACUAUAUGUAGCAUGAUACUGAUUAUUUGUGUGUAUGUGUGUGAUUGCAUAUGCACAUAUUAAAAAGCCAUCACAGUAUUAACAGUUGUUACCCAUAAGCAGUAAAAAGUGAGAAUGAUUUUUAUUUUGUCCUGAUUCUUUCAUGAAUUUUUGAACAUUUCUAUAAUGGUUAUAUAAUGUAUUACUUUUAUAGUAAUAAAAAAGAAGUUCUUUUAAAGUUGCUGGCCCAUGCUUUGGAAAAAAGUUUGACCGUUCCUGUAAAGAUUAAACAUAGAGUUACUGUAUGAUCCAGCAAAUCUACACCUAGAUGUAUACCCAAGAGAACUGAAAGUAUAUGUUCACUCAAUAACUUUAACCUGAAUGUUCAUAACAGCAUUAUUCAGAAUAGCAAAAAAAAAAAAAAAAAAAAAAGGAAGCAACUCAAAUGUCCAUCAAUGGAUGAGCAGAAUGUGGUAUAUACAUACAAUGGAAUAUUAUUUAGCCAUAAAAAAGGAACAAAAUACUGAUUCAUGCUACAACAUGGAUGAACCUUGAAUACAUCAUGCUAAGUGAAAGGAAACUGACAAAAAGGCCACAUAUUGUGUGACUCCAUUCAGAUGAAUUGUCCAGAAGAAGCAAAACCAUAUAAACAGAAAGUUAGCUAGUGAUUUCCAGGACUGGGGAGAGGGAAGAAUGGUAAGUUACUGCUAGUGGUUACAAGGUUUCUUUUUGGGGUGAUGAAAAAAUUCUGGAAUUAAAUAGUGGUGAUGGUCACACAACCUUGUGAGUGUACUAAAACCCACUGAAUUAUACACUUUUAAAAGGUGAAUUUUAUGGUAUAUGAAUUAUAUCUCAAUUCUUAAAUAUGGAAAAAAGUUUAUGGCCCAUCAAAGUUUCCUGGAAAAAAAGAAUAGCAUUUAAAUGUAUAGAGUACUUUAUAUAUAAACAACCUACAAUAUGGUUAGCGCUAUGAUAGAGGGAUGGAACAUAAAAAAAAAAACAUCUAACAGUACCUGGGGGUUAGAGGAAGUUUCCAUUAAAACAGAGAUUCUUGAACUUUUUGAGAAUAAUAAAUAAAAUAACCUUUAUUUAUUAAUCCAUUUAAAAUAAUAAUGAUCCAUUGCAUUACUCAUUCCUCUCAAUGAUGACAUCUUAUAUAACCAUAGUACAGUGCCAAAACUAGGAAAUUAACAUUGACAACUAAAUAGACCACAGGCUAUUCAGGUUUUACCAGUUUUAGCAUGCAGCCACUCUUUUAAAACUUUUUGUAAUUGAAAGGACAAUACUGGGACUUCCCUGGCAGUCCAGCAGUUAAGACUCCACACUCCCAAUGCAGGGGGCAUGGGUUCGAUCCCUGGUUGGGGGAACUAAGAGCCCACAUGCCACGCCAUGCAGCCAAGAAAAAAAAAAAAGAAAGGACAAUACAACAAUAUUAAAAAUUUUAAAAUAAAUGAUUAGAGGGAAUUCCCUGACGGUCCAGUGGUUGGGACUUCGUGCUUCCAUUGCAGGGGGCACAGGUUCAAUCCCUGGUCAGGGAACUAAGAUCCCGCAAGCUGUGCAGCGCGGCAAAUAAAUAAAUAAAUAAACAUCUUAAAAAAAUUUUUUUCACAAAAUAAAUGAGUAGAACUACCUAUAAUCUCACAUUAAAACCAAUCUGAUUACCUUAUAUAGAAAUACAUUAAAUUUUUAUUACAAAAUAGUUUAAAUAUACAAAAAAGUGGUAACAUAAAAAAUAGCCAGGUACACACAUUAUCUCCAUGUAUGUUUUUACACUUUUACCACAUAUGUAAAUAUCCAUGAAAAUAUGUUGUAUUAUUUUGCAAGUUUGAAAAUCUUAUAUAAAAGUUGUAUCACAAUACACAAGGAUGCAUCUUUUAAAUAUUGGGUUGGUCAGAAAGUUCGUUCAGGUUUUUCCGUAACAUCUAAUGUUUCUAUCAUAGUAAUACAUGCUGUCAACUGCUAGUUGGGGAUGAAACUUUCCAACCUCUCUUCCUACUUUCCCCAGGAAGGGGUUAUCAUGGAGAUCAGAGCUGAGACUCUAGAGAGGCCUUGCCUGGACUGGAAUCCAGAAUCUUCUAUUCAGCAGCAGUGGAACAUUUGACAAAUUACUUACUCUGGUCUUCAAUUUCCGCAUAUGUAAAAUAGAGGCAAUGACAGUCCCUAUUUCAUAAAGUCAUUUGAGUAUAAAUUAAGGCUAUGCAGGGGAAGCACUUGGCACAGUGAAGCACAGCAUCUAGACGUGCUCACUAAGUGUUUAUCAUCGUCAUCGUCUCUUUUUUUUUUUAAAGGGAAUUUUAUUUAUUUAUUUAUUUAUUUAUUUAUUUAUUUACUUACUUAUUUAUUUAUGGCUGGCUGGCUGGCUGGCUGGCUGGCUGUGUUGGGUCUUCGUUUCUGUGCGAGGGCUUUCUCUAGUUGCAGCAAGCGGGGGCCACUCUUCAUCGCGGUGCGCAGGCCUCUCACUAUGGCGGCCUCUCUUGUUGCGGAGCGCAGGCUCCAGACGCGCAGGCUCAGCAAUUGUGGCUCACGGGCCCAGUCGCUCCGCGGCAUGUGGGAUCUUCCCAGACCAGGGCUCGAACCCGUGUCCCCUGCAUUGGCAGGCAGACUCCCAACCACUGCGCCACCAGGGAAACCCUGUCAUCAUCUUUAUUAUUGCAGAGAAUGAAUCUAGAUGUUGCCCUCUCUUCCUGUAAUGAAAGAGUGGUGCACAUAACCAGAGCCAGCUCAGACAGGGGAGUAAGAUGUUUUCUGCCCUCUCGCAGGGCUGUGCUAAUCAACAGUUAACACGCAGCUCUGGGCAAGGGUCGUGGAUAGGGAGCCACACUUUGCAGUGUUCACCAGUUUCCACGUUGUAAAUUCUCCCACCAUGGCUGACUGCAAGCUGUCAACUUGAGUUCACUGAAUGCUGACUGCAGAGUUGGGAAGAGUUAUCAGAAUCAGCUCUCAAGUCAUGUGAGCCUGCUCCAGCACACUCAAGCGAGAAUUUGUCUUUUUUGCUGCCUCUUUGUUCACUGCUGAAACCAGGAUCUGUUCCCUCUCAGGCAGAGGACCAGGCAUACAUAUCUGAUGUGCUCCUGCUGAGGUAAGAGUUUAUUUAUGCCUGGAAGAUAGAGGAAGUCUUCAGAUCUGAAGCCCAAAGCAGUGCUCAUGCGCAGCUUACCAGAGUACACAUAGCAAGUGAUACUUUAAUUCUCAUUUGUUAGUUCCCUUUGUGUCCCUGAGGGAUCUUAGGUGUGAGUGUGGGUGUGACCACAGUCUAGGGUAAGAUUCUGUUAUCUUUGGUCAUGUGGCCAUAAUGCCUUCUUAAGACCAACAGCACCUUACCUAUUUUUAACAUGUAGCAUUUUGCACUGCACUAUUUCUACUUAAGACGUUCAAGUAAUCAUCUUUCCUCAGUCUUUAUAGAUACUUUCUAAUGGCUGCAUAAUUCCAUUAAUACACCUAAGUAUAAGGUAUAUGUAAAGGAAAAAGAACCAGGAGGCAAAAACUGGGGAAAAUGACAUAAAUGUAAGAAAAAAAUAAUAAUUUCAAAAACUGAGUAUGGUCUUAGCUGUUGAUGAGAAAAGUAAAUUGAGCCCUGAAAAAUAACUGAAUAAUUGAAUCUUACAAUUAGGUCUCUAAUGCUUUCAGGAAGAGAAAGUUCAUCUCCUUACGCGGGGCAGAGGUGGGUAGGGGGCGUGAAAUGCAUUACCUCGUGUAGAAGUCAAGUGGAGAAACUAAGGCUGGAGUGAUUCAUUAAGCUGCUCAGGAUCACACAGGGCAGAUCACCCAGGCCAGGCUUCAUUCCACUAUAGUCAGGAAUGAAUGAGAAUUAAGGAAAUGGAGACAGGAGGUAUGAACAAUUCUUUCCGGAAGCAUAAUGGGGAAAGAAGAGAAAGAGCAAUGACUAAAUAAAGUAUGAGGACAUGGAAUCACUGCUUCUAUAAUAAAUAUAAGGCUCAGCUCCUCCAAAGUUGACAUUGAAAAAGGCCCCAGUGAGUGCAGGGCCAGAAGCAGACAGACCACAGAACCCUAAACCCUGUCCUGGAGAUUUGUCUGUAUUUUGGGACACUCAUUAUCUUUGCUCCAUCAGAGCCUCCUCGGAUCCAUUCUUCCUUUCAUAUUUGAGGCCCAUAUGUGAGAUGACAAAAGACAUUUCUUAAUAUCCCGUGGCACAAUCAAGUCAAAGCCAGAAAGUUUAACCCAGGGGUCCCCCACCCCGAGUCCGCAGACCAGUACCGGUCUGUGGCCUGUUAGCAGCCAGGCCGCACAGCAGGAGGUGAGCAGCGGGCAAGCGAGCAAAGCUUCAUCUGCCACUCCCCACCGCUCCCAUUACCGCCUGAGCCACCCUCCCCCCACCCAGUCUGUGGAAAAAUUGUCUUCCAUAAAACUGGUCCCUGCUGCCAAAAAAGUUGGGGACCACUGGUAAACAGCCUUUCUCAAGGCAAGGGCAAUGUUUCCUAACCUUGCCGGUCACAGAGACUGCCCCAGACACUCAUUUAAAUAUACGGAAUGUCAGGAGAUUUGGAUUCAGUUCUCUGGUGGGGGCCUGGGAAUGGGUAUUUUAAAGUAAUGCCAGUUAUCCUUAAUUUCCUGCAGGGUUGGGUAUCACUGUGCUGGCAAGUAACAAAGAGAAAUAAACACAGUAGCAUAAAUCCCCGUAGUCUGGCUCAAAAGAAACGGCCUACUCAUAACCAUGCUGGGGUCCCCAGCCUACCCCUGUGAUUUGAUGCCAUCUUGGCAUGUGCUGGCUUAAUCUCCAGCCCAAUCUGGGCACAAUAGAGGGAGGUCCAUCGCCAAAUUAUCAGGUGGCAGGAGAGAAGGGAAAGAGGGUUUCUUCUGUUCUUAAUAUGUUUCAAACUGACUACUAGUUCCUAACCAGCAUGCCAAUACAGACAAGACCUGUCUUUGCCCACCUCAUCCCCUUCUUCUCUGUCCCUCAGGCAGGCACCUGGAGGUGGCAGCCCCCUCCUUCCUACAGCCUUCUCAGUCUUCGGGAGGGUGACCCUACAUCUUGGUUUGCCUGGGGGAGAGUCUUGACUUAAGCCCAGAGUUCUCUCUGGUUUGGUGUCCCCUUUCAUUCUCAAAAAGGUCCCAGUGUGGAGCAUAAAUCCUAUCGUCAUGCUGUCUAUGAACAGAGUGAGAACAAAAACAUAAGUGCACAAAAGCAAGAAGUAGUCUGCCAGCAAUUUACACAAUGACUUCCAAUUAUCAAGCAAAUCACUCUGUGACACUGCAUACAUCGUUUCAAUUAAUUCUCACAGCAACCCCAUGAGGGAGCUCUGGGCACAUGAAUUCUUGCAGGUAAGGAAAGUAACCGGGUUAAAUGACUUGACCAGGGUCAUCCAACUAUGAGGAGCAGAACUGGAUUCAAACAUCCAUCUGAGUGACCGCAACUUCUGCUCUAAAGGGGGCCUGCCUGACUCCUCAGGCCAUGUGGCCACCCCCACCCCCACCAAUUUCUGACUGUGUUAAGAAACAGAACUUUACCAAGAACGUUGGUCAGUUUCAACACUAAAGGAACUCUCUCAAUUUUCAUAUUUUUCAUCUUACAUUUGAAAGUAGAGUCUAUUUCUGCAGCUGUGUACAUAAUUCAGCUCUUGUUUCUGUAACCUAAUUUGAAAGAACACUUCCAAAAGAAGCAAUGAAGUCUACAAAAGCACAGUUUGACUCAAGUGGAUCCAACCAAUUUGCAAAUGGAAAAUAACACGGAGGAAUAAGUUUUGCAUCACAAGUGUGGCUGCUUCAAGUCAUCUUUCAUGAAACUAAAGAUAGAAAGUUCUGCCGGUAACAAAACCUGCUCUACACGCCAGGAGGAAAAAGGACUUGAAGGAAGAGGAAGAACACAUUUUUCAAAAUUCUUUUCAAAAUAUAUGAGGGGGAAAAAAAUAUAAGAAGCGGAGAAAUAUGCCACUCGAUACAGGAGUCACUCUGGACAAGUGUCUUGGAAUCAAGUCCUAAAGGACAGCCAUCAUGGCAACAAAAGGUGGAUGUAAUUACAAAUAAGGACCUUGGAAGAAUCUCUAAAACGGUUCCUACAAAGAGUGCAGUUCAGAAAAAUCUAUGCAAAAGAAGAAAGACAAAAGUGGAACCUCAUGAGAGCAGAGAAAAAGCAAAAGGGAGUUUCUCCAUUUUCUCAUAAUGAAAGACCAUUAAUCAGAAGACAAAUAAAAAUGUAGAUCAAAUGAUCCUUUGUUACCUAUUUUUACUCAACUGUACUUGAGGAAUCCAUUGAUUAAACUGCCAGCAAACCAAAAGAAAAAAAAGAAAAUCAUAUGCUUCUCCUGAUGCCCAAGUGGCCUUGGUUAUGUCAUAUAUGGUGAUCAAGACUAUAACUACUUAGUGACACUGGUUUGCUGGCUUAACCAAAGUAAUGGUAAUACAAACCACACUGAGCGACAAAUCUCAAAGUGGAGUGCUCAGGUUAUAUUUUUGUAUGUGGGAAUGUGUGGGCCACAAUCUCUCUGUUGGGGAUGGGAUUGCUUUUUGGCCCAACUACUGCACUCUGUAAUUAUUGCAAUGACACUGUAGACCAGAAGGUCAGUCUAAACCCCCUUGUGUGGAUCAUAAUGGAUUAUAGCUUCACCUUGGACCUCAUCCUGGCUGUCUGAAAUAAGACCUACUGAUCCCCUAUGGAACUUACUCAUAGUUGGCUGAGUCUGCACCCUUGGCGGGGAAGAGUGUGACUGAGGUAAAGACUGCAAGAUGGUCCCAUCCUGCUGCUUGGAGUCCUGUUGAUAGUAGUUUUGAUUAAAUGUUGAAUGAGACAAAUUAAAUGAAUUUGCUCCCAGUCUCUGUGGUCAGAUUAAUCAGAGUAGCUGGUGGAGUGGCACACUUUGGGUAAAAACUCAAGUUCGGCCAAGACUGCAUUAUUCCGGGCUGAGGGGUGGAGAGGAAUCUGCCAUGGGCCCUGGUGUCUCUGCAUGUUCCUGCUGGGUAUGCCAUGAAUGCAAACCCCUGACCUUUCUUUCCCGGGGCCAUUUUUCAGAGUUGUAUUUGUAGCAAGCAACCUUGAAGAAGGGGUAAUGUCUCUCCCAGACAAAGAGCAGGCUGGCUUUCACUUACUAUACAGAGAAUCUCCCCAGCUCCAUGAUUCUUUCCUCUAGUACAACCCACUGCAUUCCCAGACAUCCAUCAUGGACCCUUUGUGUCACCUUUGUGGGGCUUGUGGGACAUGGAGAACCAACACAAAUCAACAUAAAGCUCUGAAUACUACUUUUGCUGUGAGCAAUAAAGUCCUUUGUCUGUGACUCAGGAAUUUUGGGUCUUCUGCCAGCAUCCACAAAACAGGACCGCUUGUAAGCAGGGUACAAUCCAAGGCCUUGCACAGAUCCUGACAGUCCUAUAUUUGGAUUUGGCUGAUGGUGCUCUAGUGGAGUCAUUUAACUUGUUCUCUACGCCUAUAAAUUGGAAGCCAAAUCUAGAAGUUUCAUCAGAUUCAAGCUCAGCUUUUAUGGCAGAAACACUUUGCAUUGGUGAUGUGUCCUUUUUAUUACACCACGUUAGGAGACGUAACAUCAGGUUUUCCAGUUUUAGUGAUGCUCAGCCUAGCCAGUGGAUUCAGUUGCUUUCAGUACAGUAUAAAGUUGUCCAUCAGCAUUUCGUCUAAUAAUUUUAGCAUUCAUUGAUGAUCAUUGCCCUGAUCCCUUAUUUCAUUUGUGUUUUUUUUAAGGGUAACAUUUAAAUGGUAUCAUUCUUCUUCCAUUUACCCUCUGUGAUUCUUCGGUAAGGGAGAACUUUCUAUCAUUGACUAUUUGGUUGCCCUAAAAUCAGUUCAUCCCUUUAAGCCUCUUCUCUGGGCCCCUUGUUUCAGGGAACCUCACACUUUGGAGUUCCUUCUUCCAACUCUUCUAAGUCUCUCUCUGUUACCUGGAACCAGCCAGGGUUAGCAGGGCCAACCAGGUGAGGUGCCCCAAACCCAGAAUGGGACAUGGUUUGGUCAUAAACUUGGGUUCAUUAGUUUCAAGUUUUUGUUUUGUUUUGUUUAGGGAUUACUUUUUUUCUUUUGUUUUAAU